UACGUAGGUGGCAAGCGUUGUCCGGAUUUAUUGGGUUUAAAGGGUGCGUAGGUGGAAUGGUAAGUCAGUGGUGAAAUCCUGCGGCUUAACUGCAGAACUGCCAUUGAUACUGCCAAUCUUGAGUACAUAUGAAGUGGGCGGAAUGUGUCAUGUAGCGGUGAAAUGCUUAGAUAUGACACAGAACACCGAUUGCGAAGGCAGCUCACUAAACUGUAACUGACACUGAGGCACGAAAGCGUGGGGAUCAAACAGG
This 253-nucleotide ribosomal RNA is filed under the name uncultured bacterium. RNAcentral describes it as "partial 16S ribosomal RNA". It matches the Rfam family "Bacterial small subunit ribosomal RNA", at positions 524 to 776 of the family's 1533-position model. The record is from RNAcentral.